Molecule: ribosomal RNA, 371 nt
Filed under: uncultured organism
Description: bacterial SSU rRNA
Rfam family: Bacterial small subunit ribosomal RNA
Source: RNAcentral
GUAGGGUGCAAGCGUUGUUCGGAAUCAUUGGGCGUAAAGCGCGUGUAGGUGGUCUGCUAAGUCGAUUGUGAAAUCCCUGGGCUCAACCGAGGAAGUGCAGUCGAAACUAGUAGGCUAGAGGACAGCAGGGGAAGGUGGAAUUCCAAGUGUAGAGGUGAAAUUCGUAGAUAUUUGGAGGAAUACCGGCGGCGAAGGCGGCCUUCUGGACUGUUCCUGACACUGAGACGCGAAAGCGUGGGUAGCAAACAGGAUUAGAUACCCUGGUAGUCCACGCCGUAAACGAUGGGCACUAGAUGUUACAGGAAUUGACCCCGGUAGUGUCGUAGCUAACGCAUUAAGUGCCCCGCCUGGGAAGUACGGCCGCAAGGUUA